GAGACAGAGCGGCGAGCGAAGGCGUCGGCCAUUUUGUGGAUGUUUCCUGUGGGACGCGGUUGUGACGGUUGGGUCGGAAGAGUGAGCUAUUUUUCACGUUGUUUUUUCCUGUUUGUUUUCUCCUCUUUUUGUCGGUAGAGCGCAGUUAUGGGUCGCAAGAAGAAGAAGCAGCUGAAGCCGUGGUGCUGGUAUUGUAAUAGAGAUUUUGAUGAUGAGAAGAUCCUUAUACAGCACCAAAAAGCAAAGCAUUUUAAAUGCCAUAUAUGUCAUAAGAAAUUGUAUACAGGACCUGGCUUAGCUAUUCAUUGCAUGCAGGUGCAUAAAGAGACAAUAGAUGCAGUACCAAAUGCAAUACCUGGGAGAACAGACAUAGAGUUGGAAAUAUAUGGUAUGGAAGGUAUUCCAGAAAAAGAUAUGGAUGAAAGAAGACGACUUCUUGAACAAAAAACACAAGCAGAGAGUCAAAAAAAGAAGCAGCAAGAUGAUUCUGAUGAGUAUGAUGAUGAUGACUCUGCAGCUUCGACUUCAUUUCAACCACAGCCUGUUCAGCCUCAGCAAGGUUAUAUCCCCCCAAUGGCACAACCAGGACUACCACCGGUUCCAGGAGCACCAGGAAUGCCUCCAGGCAUACCUCCAUUAAUGCCAGGUGUUCCUCCUCUGAUGCCAGGAAUGCCACCAGUUAUGCCCGGAAUGCCACCUGGAUUGCAUCAUCAGAGAAAAUACACCCAGUCAUUUUGCGGUGAAAACAUAAUGAUGCCAAUGGGUGGAAUGAUGCCACCUGGACCGGGAAUACCACCUCUGAUGCCUGGUAUGCCACCAGGUAUGCCCCCUCCUGUUCCACGUCCUGGAAUUCCUCCAAUGACUCAAGCACAGGCUGUUUCAGCUCCAGGUAUUCUUAACAGACCACCUGCACCAACAGCAACAGUUCCGGCUCCGCAGCCUCCAGUUACUAAGCCUCUUUUCCCCAGUGCGGGACAGAUGGGGACACCUGUAACAAGCUCAAGUACAGCUUCAUCCAAUUCAGAAAGUCUGUCUGCAUCUUCUAAAGCUCUGUUUCCUAGCACAGCACAAGCUCAGGCAGCUGUCCAGGGACCUGUUGGUACAGAUUUCAAGCCCUUAAAUAGUACCCCUGCAACAACUACAGAACCACCAAAGCCUACAUUCCCUGCAUAUACACAGUCUACAGCUUCAACCACUAGUACAACAAAUAGCACUGCAGCUAAACCAGCAGCUUCCAUAACAAGUAAGCCUGCUACACUUACCACAACCAGUGCAACCAGUAAGUUGAUCCAUCCAGAUGAGGAUAUAUCACUGGAAGAGAGAAGAGCACAGUUACCUAAAUAUCAACGUAAUCUUCCUCGACCAGGACAGGCUCCCAUUGGUAAUCCACCUGUUGGACCAAUUGGAGGUAUGAUGCCACCGCAGCCAGGCAUCCCACAGCAACAAGGAAUGAGACCCCCAAUGCCACCUCAUGGUCAGUAUGGUGGUCAUCAUCAAGGCAUGCCGGGUUACCUUCCUGGUGCUAUGCCACCGUAUGGGCAGGGACCGCCAAUGGUGCCCCCUUACCAAGGUGGGCCUCCUCGACCUCCGAUGGGAAUGAGACCUCCUGUAAUGUCGCAAGGUGGCCGUUACUGAUCUUACUUCAUCCAGUCUAAUAGGUUUUUAGAAGUGAAGUAUAGUAAAUUUGGUUCGUUAUAUUGUGAAGGCGCUGGAAUUACAUGAACAUACCACCUUAAUAAAGCCCUGCCAUAGGACAGGCUGAGGCUGAGUCUCAGUGUUGCCCUGUUCAGUCUGAGCAGCAGAAUUUCAGCAUUUGCUACUUACUGGUAGAGAAGAAAAAUCCCACAGCCCUGCCAGUACAGGUUAGUUUAAUCUGUAAGUACCUGAUGUUCCUAUUUUUUUCAAACAUAUCCAUAUAACCCACACAAGGAAGAAAGCUGUGCAGUUAUUAAAUGUGAAUAUAAUAGAGAUCAUUGAACACUUUCACACACACAACAUUUGGGCCAAAGUAGCUGUAGGUUCGCUCACCUUAGCUGUAAUAAAGGUGUAAUACUGCUCCUUUAUUAUCUGGUUAUGACUGAACCUAAGUAGAUAAAUUGUACAUAGGAGGAAGACAGUGGAAGUUUCAAUUGGCUGUAUGCUCAUGUUGGUAUAGAGAGUGUAGGUGUUUGGCUUCAGGGUCUCCUACUUAAGCCACUUCUGUGGUGGAAUUCAUACUUUUUUAACUUUUUAACAAUAUGAAUCAACAGACAAUAAGUCACAUUUCCUCACCUCUAGCAGUGAUAAGCUAGAAAAUGUUUUUAUCUUUUUUGUACACUAUAACCUAUUCUGUUGGUGCACCACCAUUGUGGGUUUGUUUUAUUUUGAACUAAGAGUAAUUUUUUAAUGACCAAAUGAAUGCUGACUAUCAGGAAAUCUAGACAGGUUUCUUUGUGCAUUCCUUUUGAGGGGCAGUGAGGACAUAUCUGUUUGUGAAAGUUACAUUAAAGUUUUUGUUAGUUUCAUUAGUUCUACCAGGAUUCAUUGUCAACUUGAACCAUCCUUCAAAGAUUUCCUUUAAGCUUUAAAUAUUAUGCUUUUGUGUUAGUAAAAAUUUUAAAUACUGAGGAGAGAAGAAGAAAGUGUACAAUUUAGUUUAUACAAGCCUGAACCAUUCUCCAGUCUAUGGCUUCCUCUUCACCUUAAGUGUAAAGUUAUAUAAUAAUGGGACAGUGUUCAUAAAACUAGCUGAUCUUUUAUUCCUAUUAAACGGGGAUGGUGAUGAGCCACUGAAAACAAGAUCAUCUCAAUGUUAAUAUGGAAGUCAUGUUUUCAGUUAAGUGUUUUAAUGACCUUGAUUUAUCAACUGAUAAUAUUUUUUAUAAGAUAUUCACUUGGCUUUUUAUAUAUAAAAUUGCCUAAGGGCUUAAGUUUCAUUGCCUUUCACAGUUUAAUCUGUAUAAGAAAUGGUGUAGAUACAGUGGAAAUGGUUUUCCUUAAAACCAUCUCUUUAAAGCUGCUUUGCUGGUGAGUACUUGCUAUUUUAUACUUCUAUAUAUUACUAUUUUUCUAAAGUUGGACACUUUGAUGGCAGUGUCUUGAGUUUGUGUUCUUCAACUAUUAUCUGAAUCAAGAGUGUUAAGGUGAUUAAAGUUUCCUACAGAUUUUUUUGUAGUUGACAGAAAAUUUUUUUCUCAGUGCUUUUUGAUUGCCAUUUUGCGUAGGUAUAAAAUUUAAAGACCAGAAUUUCUGUCCAGCGAUUCCUGAACAGUUAACUGAGAGUAGAGUUAAGGAAAGUUUGCCCAAAAUGGUCAUGCAGACUAAUCACUUACACAGAAGUCUCUGAGUGAAGCUUGAAAAUUUCAAAUGUACUCUUAAGUCAUUCUAACCUUGCAUGAAAAGCUUUGGUUGGACUACUGAUUUCUGGGACUGUGUAUACCAGUGGAAAUUAGCCUGAGUAUAUUUCUAAUUACUUGAUCCCUGUUUGAUCGUUGUAACACAUGGAUUUUUUUUUCCCCUUUAGCUUUUAGUCACAUCCUAGCUAAUGUCAGUAUAUGCUAAGGAUGUUUUUAGAUUGUUUUUCCUGCUGUGAUCUUUGUAAGUCAGUAAUAAAGAGGCAUCUCUUGCUUUUUAGUAUGAAGAGUGAUAAUCUUCUAAAACCUGAAAAUUGAUAUCUGAGUAUGUGAUAAUGGUGAUGUAUUGUUCUAGAUAAGCACUAAACAAAGUGUGGACCCUCAAUUGAUGUCUUUAAGAUUUAAAGUGAAGUAUAUUUCUAAAGAACUCUGUCCUUUCCUAGCAAGGAUAAGCAGAUGCUGAAAAGUCGGUAAGUAUGUAACUUUAAAUGCAUGUAAUAGUUAUGUGAAUAAAUAGCUAAAUUUCCAUGGUUAAGGUAAUAUCUAGACAUGAACAAGAAUUCUUGAAUAUCCUUUGCGACUUAAUGUGUCUAGCACUUUUACAAAUUUGUGUGCACACUGAUUAAAUUGAAAGGUACCUUACUUCUUUGUCUCUUUUGUUUUUAUUUUUAUGGUGCUUUACUAAUUUCAUAUUUCACACUUUUUUCAGAGUAGAAAUAAGUGGCGGGUAAAGAAUAUCUUCAAGGAAGAAUUAUUUAAAUGUCCCCAUCUUAAAACCCAGUGAUGACCUUCUGUUUACCUUAAGGCUUCUGUUCUUUCAGCUCCAGUUAGAUCCGACAGAUAAUCAAAAAUGGGAAUGAAAUCUUUGUGCUCUUUCUGGAGUAUUGUGGGAAUCAUUGUAUAAUAGUAAAAUGUUACUUAAGGCAACAGUGGAUUUUCAGGGAAGCAGUGUUUUUUAAAUUAAGAGAGAAAGGUGGUGAGAUUUUGGAAUCUCUCCUCCCUGGUACACCAUUGCUCUUAAUAAAAAGAGGGUAAAUGGAGGUUCAAGGGAAAACAUUGAAUUGCUACAGCAGGGAAGGUGAUUUACAUCUGAACACUGUGUCUGCUUUCCAAAGUGAUAUAUAGCAUUUUGUGAUAUGGUACAAGAUCUCAAAGGGGUGGGGAAAACAGGUGGGUUCCCUCCAUUCUGUCUCCAGGCUUCACUCCAGCACUGUACUGGCAAGGAGGGAAGUGAAGAAGAGCAAGUCAUACAAGGGAUAUGAUGGUAAGAAGAACCUAAACAAAACAAAGGAGGAUAAAUGCUAGUCCAUGUAUAUGAUUAAAUGGUCUAGCUAAACAACUUUUGACUGGUAGCAUAAUUUUUAAUCUAAGUAAAUGAACUUAAUGAUUUAAAAGUUGUGAUUUAAAUACUAGCUUAGAAUUUUUACUGACUUUUAUUUAUUUAUUUUUUUUCCUGACUUUUAAAACUAAUCAAAAAAGGAAGAUGCUAGCAAUUAACACUAGGAUUUGCAGGGCAGGGGGGAGGUGGGUGGGUAUUUCUAAAUUAAAGCUUUCUUGCAUAAGUAAUAGUGCGAUUUGUUGCCUUGGGGUACCACUUGAAAGCUAGAGCAUAAGAAAAAUGAAAUGGGUGACCACAUUUAUAGUGUUUAUAUUAAAUUUUAGCCUACUGGUAGGGUUUGAAUGGAAGAGGUGAUCCCAGAUAUAUGUGUGUGGAACCAUAUAAUUGGAGCUCACAAAAAGCCUUGAGUUUUUGAGGGUUUUUUUCCUCCCCUCUUGAGUUUGUCUGGAAGUGUUUGCAAGGCUUUGAAAAAGCCAGAACUACCAUUUGGAAAAUGGUACUUUAUUUUCAGAUAUGAAACAAGUUUUGGGUUGGAUCUUCAUUUAAAGGGGGAAGGAUUUUUGCUUCUGCAUUAUUAAAAGCAAGUGUCUUUUUAUUCCAUGGUAAUGAUUGACCAUUAACAUUUGAGUGUCUGUUGUUUACAAAUAUUAAUAAAAUUUUUCAUUUCUUGACUAAUGA
Odocoileus virginianus texanus is the source of this 5349-nucleotide non-coding RNA. The record is from RefSeq and is a predicted model, not a curated record. Lineage: Eukaryota; Metazoa; Chordata; Mammalia; Artiodactyla; Cervidae.